This 524-nucleotide ribosomal RNA is filed under the name uncultured bacterium. RNAcentral describes it as "bacterial SSU rRNA". It matches the Rfam family "Bacterial small subunit ribosomal RNA", at positions 355 to 896 of the family's 1533-position model. The record is from RNAcentral.
UGGGGAAUCUUGGACAAUGGGGGAAACCCUGAUCCAGCCAUGCCGCGUGAGUGAUGAAGGCCUUCGGGUUGUAAAACUCUUUCGCGCGCGACGAUAAUGACGGUAGCGCGAGAAGAAGCUCCGGCUAACUUCGUGCCAGCAGCCGCGGUAAUACGAAGGGGGCUAGCGUUGUUCGGAAUUACUGGGCGUAAAGCGCGCGCAGGCGGCUUCUCAAGUCAGGGGUGAAAGCCCAGAGCUCAACUCUGGAACUGCCUUUGAGACUGAGAGGCUUGAGUACGGGAGAGGUGAGUGGAAUUCCCAGUGUAGAGGUGAAAUCCGUAGAUAUUGGGAAGAACACCGGUGGCGAAGGCGGCUCACUGGCCCGUUACUGACGCUCAGGCGCGACAGCGUGGGGAUCAAACAGGAUUAGAUACCCUGGUAGUCCACGCCGUAAACUAUGAACGCUAGCCGUUGGGUAGCUUGCUAUUCAGUGGCGCAGCUAACGCAUUAAGCGUUCCGCNUGNAGGAGUACGGCCGCAAGGUUG